CUAGCUGUACCUGGAUCACAACAGAGCUCCACUAGUUGCCACAAAAGGAAGGCAAAUGCAUCAGCUAGAGCAAUUUCUACAGAGAAGGCAAAGAGAACAUGCACUGGUCUUGGUUUACAAUCUAGGAAGUCUUCACAGGAUACAGUCAAUCUUGACAUCGGUAAGAGGAGAGUGAUAAGGACUUCUGCCACUGCAAGGGUGGCAACAAUUCUAGGGGGAACAGCAACAAUGAACCUGCAUGCUCAUGGACGAUCAGCACAUGCCUCAUCAAAUGUGACCAUUACCGUGACUUCUGGAACUGCAAGUGCUCAUGUGCAAACUCAUGAACCAGCUCCUAGAAGCAAUUCACCACAAAGAAAGAGAAGGCUACCACAACUUCUACUAUCACCCCCAAGAUCUGAUGGCAAUGAGUAG
Molecule: long non-coding RNA, 414 nt
Filed under: Oryza sativa Indica Group (long-grained rice)
Lineage: Eukaryota; Viridiplantae; Streptophyta; Magnoliopsida; Poales; Poaceae
Description: lncRNA OsMH63_04G024560
Source: RNAcentral